This 322-nucleotide ribosomal RNA is filed under the name uncultured eukaryote. RNAcentral describes it as "partial 18S ribosomal RNA". It matches the Rfam family "Eukaryotic small subunit ribosomal RNA", at positions 1470 to 1796 of the family's 1831-position model. The record is from RNAcentral.
CCCUUAGAUGUUCUGGGCCGCACGCGUGCUACACUGAGUGGAUCAGCGGGUCAGGUUGCGCGAAAGUGUUUCCUAAUCUUUAAAUCCGCUCGUGAUGGGGAUUGACGGUUGCAAUUUUCCGUCAUGAACGAGGAAUACCUUGUAAGCGCGGGUCAUCAUCCCGCGCUGAAUACGUCCCUGCCCUUUGUACACACCGCCCGUAGCUCCUACCGAUUGAGUGGUCCGGUGAGGCUUUGGGAUCUGAGCGGAAAGAGCGUUUCGCUGUUUCUGCCCGGAAAACUCAGUCGAACCUUAUCAUUUAGAGGAAGGAGAAGUCGUAACA